This 468-nucleotide ribosomal RNA is filed under the name uncultured bacterium. Its description in RNAcentral is "partial 16S ribosomal RNA". It matches the Rfam family "Bacterial small subunit ribosomal RNA", at positions 28 to 507 of the family's 1533-position model. The record is from RNAcentral.
AACGAACGCUGGCGGCGUGCUUAACACAUGCAAGUCGAACGGACAGGCCCUGCUGUUGUCGGGUGAUCGAGUGGCAACCGGGUGGGUCACACGUUAGUAACCUGACUAUGACUUUGGGAUAACUUCAGAAACCUGGGACUACUACCGGAUAGGAGCUCCUGCUGCAUGGUGGGGGUUGGAGACUUUCGGCGGAUGGGGAUGGACUCGCGGCUUAUCAGCUUGUGGGUGGGGUGGUGGCUUACCAAGGCUUUGACGGGUAGCCGGCCUGAGAGGGUGACCGGCCACAUUGGGACUGAGAGACGGCCCAGACUCCUACGGGAGGCAGCAGUGGGGAAUAGUGCACAAUGGGCGGAAGCCUGAUGCAGCAACGCGGCGUGCGGGAUGACGGCCUUCGGGUUUUAGACUGCUUUCGCCUGUGACGAAGCGUGAGUGACGGUAAUGGGUAAAGAAGCACCGGCUAACUACGUG